UGAAUGUCCUAGGGGGUAUUGCACUUACCGAAGACUAUCAAACUCCGAAUGCCGUAUUCUUUUGCUUGGGAGUCAGACUAUGGGUGAUAAGAUUCAUAGUCAAGAGGGCAACAGCCCAGAUCGUCAGCUAAGGUCCCUAAAUGUAAGUUAAGUGGUAAAGGAUGUGGAAUUGCACAGACAACCAGGAUGUUGGCUUAGAAGCAGCCACUCAUUUAAAGAGUGCGUAAUAGCUCACUGGUCGAGUGAUUCUGCGCCGAAAAUUUCCGGGGCUAAAACUUACUACCGAAGCUACGGCAUCAUUAUGAUGGGUAGGGGAGCUUUCUAUGUGGCUUGAAGCAUGACCGUAAGGACAUGUGGACUGCAUAGAAGUGAGAAUGUUGGCAUGAGUAGCGAGAUGUGGGUGAGAAUCCCACAGGCCGUAAACCCAAGGUUUCCAGGGGAAGGUUCGUCCGCCCUGGGUUAGUCAGGACCUAAGCCGAGGCCGAAAGGCGUAGGUGAUGGACAACAGGUUGAUAUUCCUGUACCACCAAUAACCGUUUGAGAAAUGGGAUGACACAGUAGGAUAAGCUAACCGCACUGUUGGUUAUGUGCGGGCAAGUAUUGAGGCAGUUCCGAUAGGCAAAUCCGUCGGAAUAAUGCUGGGGUACGAUGCGGAGCGAAAUUUAGUAGCGAAGUAGCUGAUUUCACACUGUCGAGAAAAGUCUCUAUCGAGGUUAAAGGUGCCUGUACCGCAAACCGACACAGGUGGGUGAGGAGAGUAUCCUAAGGCCAGCGAGAGAACUGUUGUUAAGGAACUCGGCAAAAUGACCCCGUAACUUAGGGAGAAGGGGUGCCUUCGAAAGAAGGCCGCAGAGAAUAGGCCCAAGCGACUGUUUACCAAAAACAUAGGUUUCUGCUAAGUCGCAAGACGAUGUAUAGGAGCUGACGCCUGCCCGGUGCUGGAAGGUUAAGGGGAUCUGUUAGAGCAAUCGAAGCAGUGAACUUAAGCCCCAGUAAACGGCGGCCGUAACUAUAACGGUCCUAAGGUAGCGAAAUUCCUUGUCGGGUAAGUUCCGACCCGCACGAAAGGCGUAACGAUUUGGGCACUGUCUCAACAACAGACUCGGUGAAAUUGUAAUACCGGUGAAGAUGCCGGUUACCUGCGACAGGACGGAAAGACCCCAUGGAGCUUUACUGUAGCUUGACAUUGAGUCUCGGUGCUACAUGUACAGGAUAGGUGGGAGACUAUGAAGCAUGGACGUCAGUCUGUGUGGAGUCAUCCUUGGGAUACCACCCUUGUAGUACUGGGAUUCUAACCAGAGGCCAUGAAUCUGGUCUUGGGACACUGUCAGGUGGACAGUUUGACUGGGGCGGUCGCCUCCCAAAAAGUAACGGAGGCGCUCAAAGGUUCUCUCAGUACGGUCGGAAAUCGUACGAAGAGUGUAAAGGCAAAAGAGAGCUUGAUUGCAAGACAUACAGGUCGAGCAAGGACGAAAGUCGGACUUAGUGAUCCGGUGGUUCCGCAUGGAAGGGCCAUCGCUCAACGGAUAAAAGCUACCCUGGGGAUAACAGGCUGAUCUCCCCCAAGAGUCCACAUCGACGGGGAGGUUUGGCACCUCGAUGUCGGCUCAUCACAUCCUGGGGCUGUAUUCGGUCCCAAGGGUUCGGCUGUUCGCCGAUUAAAGUGGUACGCGAGCUGGGUUCAGAACGUCGUGAGACAGUUCGGUCCCUAUCCGUCGCAGGCGUAGGAAAUUUGAGGAGACCUGUCCUUAGUACGAGAGGACCGGGAUGGACGUACCGCUGGUGUACCAGUUGUUCUGCCAAGGGCAUGGCUGGGUAGCUAAGUACGGAAAGGAUAAGCGCUGAAAGCAUCUAAGCGCGAAGCCCACUUCAAGAUAAGAUUUCCCACCGCAAGGUUAAGAUCCCAGGAAGACUACCUGGUUGAUAGGUCAGAGGUGUAAGUGCAGUAAUGUAUUUAGCUUACUGAUACUAAUAGAUCGAGGACUUGACCAA
This 1992-nucleotide ribosomal RNA is filed under the name human gut metagenome. RNAcentral describes it as "bacterial LSU rRNA". It matches the Rfam family "Bacterial large subunit ribosomal RNA", at positions 911 to 2925 of the family's 2925-position model. The record is from RNAcentral.